RNAcentral lists this ribosomal RNA (1444 nucleotides) under Alkalicoccobacillus murimartini. RNAcentral's name for it is "bacterial SSU rRNA". It matches the Rfam family "Bacterial small subunit ribosomal RNA", at positions 56 to 1268 of the family's 1533-position model. Lineage: Bacteria; Bacillati; Bacillota; Bacilli; Caryophanales; Bacillaceae. The record is from RNAcentral.
UGCAAGUCGAGCGGACGUUUUUGAGAGCUUGCUUCAAAAACGUUAGCGGCGGACGGGUGAGUAACACGUGGGCAACCUGCCUUAUCGACUGGGAUAACUCCGGGAAACCGGGGCUAAUACCGGAUAACAUCUAGCAUUUCCUGGUGCAAGAUUAAAAGAGGGCCUUCGGGCUCUCACGAUGAGAUGGGCCCGCGGCGCAUUAGCUAGUUGGAGAGGUAAUGGCUCCCCAAGGCGACGAUGCGUAGCCGACCUGAGAGGGUGAUCGGCCACACUGGGACUGAGACACGGCCCAGACUCCUACGGGAGGCAGCAGUAGGGAAUCUUCCGCAAUGGACGAAAGUCUGACGGAGCAACGCCGCGUGAGUGAUGAAGGGUUUCGGCUCGUAAAGCUCUGUUAUGAGGGAAGAACACGUACCGUUCGAAUAGGGCGGUACCUUGACGGUACCUCAUCAGAAAGCCACGGCUAACUACGUGCCAGCAGCCGCGGUAAUACGUAGGUGGCAAGCGUUGUCCGGAAUUAUUGGGCGUAAAGCGCGCGCAGGCGGCCUUUUAAGUCUGAUGUGAAAUCUUGCGGCUCAACCGCAAGCGGUCAUUGGAAACUGGAGGGCUUGAGUACAGAAGAGGAGAGUGGAAUUCCACGUGUAGCGGUGAAAUGCGUAGAUAUGUGGAGGAACACCAGUGGCGAAGGCGACUCUCUGGUCUGUAACUGACGCUGAGGCGCGAAAGCGUGGGGAGCAAACAGGAUUAGAUACCCUGGUAGUCCACGCCGUAAACGAUGAGUGCUAGGUGUUAGGGGUUUCGAUGCCCGUAGUGAGGGCUUGAGUACAGAAGAGGAGAGUGGAAUUCCACGUGUAGCGGUGAAAUGCGUAGAUAUGUGGAGGAACACCAGUGGCGAAGGCGACUCUCUGGUCUGUAACUGACGCUGAGGCGCGAAAGCGUGGGGAGCAAACAGGAUUAGAUACCCUGGUAGUCCACGCCGUAAACGAUGAGUGCUAGGUGUUAGGGGUUUCGAUGCCCGUAGUGCCGAAGUUAACACAUUAAGCACUCCGCCUGGGGAGUACGGCCGCAAGGCUGAAACUCAAAGGAAUUGACGGGGGCCCGCACAAGCAGUGGAGCAUGUGGUUUAAUUCGAAGCAACGCGAAGAACCUUACCAGGUCUUGACAUCCUUUGACCACUCUGGAGACAGAGCUUCCCCUUCGGGGGCAAAGUGACAGGUGGUGCAUGGUUGUCGUCAGCUCGUGUCGUGAGAUGUUGGGUUAAGUCCCGCAACGAGCGCAACCCUUGACCUUAGUUGCCAGCAUUCAGUUGGGCACUCUAAGGUGACUGCCGGUGACAAACCGGAGGAAGGUGGGGAUGACGUCAAAUCAUCAUGCCCCUUAUGACCUGGGCUACACACGUGCUACAAUGGAUGGUACAAAGGGUUGCGAAGCCGCGAGGUGGAGC